GAUGAAGAACGCAGCGAAAUGCGAUAACUAAUGUGAAUUGCAGAAUUCAGUGAAUCAUCGAGUCUUUGAACGCACAUUGCGCCCCCUGGUAUUCCGGGGGGCAUGCCUGUCCGAGCGUCAUUGCUGCCCUCAAGCACGGCUUGUGUGUUGGGCUCCGUCCCCCCGGGGACGGGCCCGAAAGGCAGCGGCGGCACCGAGUCCGGUCCUCGAGCGUAUGGGGCUUUGUCACCCGCUCUGUAGGCCCGGCCGGCGCCAGCCGACAACCCAUCAUCCUUUUCAGGUAGACCUCGGAUCAGGUAGGGAUACCCGCUGAACUUAAGCAUAUCAAUAAGCGGAGGA
This 339-nucleotide unclassified non-coding RNA is filed under the name soil metagenome. RNAcentral's name for it is "partial contains 5.8S ribosomal RNA, internal transcribed spacer 2, and large subunit ribosomal RNA". The stretch from base 1 to 120 matches the Rfam family "5.8S ribosomal RNA", at positions 35 to 154 of the family's 154-position model. The record is from RNAcentral.